GCCGGAUGGCCUUUUGGUUCCCGGUACGUAGCCCCCUCCUCGACUCGAGUCGUCCGCUCGGGUGCACAGUCUAGACCAUAUACCAAGGUUUUUAACUUAGAAUAACUUGACCUCAUGCCGGAUCUUUAGUAGGAACACUUAUUUGCAUUAUGCAUUUGACUUAGGGGACUCAACACAGGUGUGACGAGACCGUAACUCAAACACGACGAUCUGUCCGGCCUAGCGAACUUUCAAUGCCAA
RNAcentral lists this long non-coding RNA (240 nucleotides) under Nicotiana benthamiana. RNAcentral describes it as "long non-coding RNA (NBEN_LNC019713)". Lineage: Eukaryota; Viridiplantae; Streptophyta; Magnoliopsida; Solanales; Solanaceae. The record is from RNAcentral.